UGGGGAAUAUUGGACAAUGGGCGAAAGCCUGAUCCAGCCAUGCCGCGUGUGUGAAGAAGGUCUUCGGAUUGUAAAGCACUUUAAGUUGGGAGGAAGGGCAGUAAGCGAAUACCUUGCUGUUUUGACGUUACCGACAGAAUAAGCACCGGCUAACUCUGUGCCAGCAGCCGCGGUAAUACAGAGGGUGCAAGCGUUAAUCGGAAUUACUGGGCGUAAAGCGCGCGUAGGUGGUUCGUUAAGUUGAAUGUGAAAGCCCCGGGCUCAACCUGGGAACUGCAUCCAAAACUGGCGAGCUAGAGUAGGGCAGAGGGUGGUGGAAUUUCCUGUGUAGCGGUGAGAUGCGUAGGUAUAGGAAGGAACACAAGUGGCGAAGGCGACCACCUGGGCUCAUACUGACACUGAGGUGCGAAAGCGUGGGGAGCAAACAGG
RNAcentral lists this ribosomal RNA (429 nucleotides) under Pseudomonadota bacterium. RNAcentral's name for it is "Proteobacteria bacterium partial 16S ribosomal RNA". It matches the Rfam family "Bacterial small subunit ribosomal RNA", at positions 355 to 776 of the family's 1533-position model. Lineage: Bacteria; Pseudomonadati; Pseudomonadota. The record is from RNAcentral.